Molecule: ribosomal RNA, 257 nt
Filed under: uncultured bacterium
Lineage: Bacteria
Description: partial 16S ribosomal RNA
Rfam family: Bacterial small subunit ribosomal RNA
Source: RNAcentral
UACAGAGGGGGGCAAGCGUUUGUUCGGAAUUACUGGGCGUAAAGGGCUCGUAGGCGGCCAACUAAGUCAGACGUGAAAUCCCUCGGCUUAACCGGGGAACUGCGUCUGAUACUGGAUGGCUCGAGUUUUGGGAGAGGGAUGCGGAAUUCCAGGUGUAGCGGUGAAAUGCGUAGAUAUCUGGAGGAACACCGGUGGCGAAGGCGGCAUCCUGGACCAACACUGACGCUGAGUGAGCGAAAGCCAGGGGAGCAAACGGG